This 73-nucleotide transfer RNA is filed under the name Nanobdellota archaeon. Its description in RNAcentral is "Nanoarchaeota archaeon tRNA-Val". It matches the Rfam family "tRNA". From Rfam's summary of the family: Transfer RNA (tRNA) molecules are approximately 80 nucleotides in length. Their secondary structure includes four short double-helical elements and three loops (D, anti-codon, and T loops). Further hydrogen bonds mediate the characteristic L-shaped molecular structure. tRNAs have two regions of fundamental functional importance: the anti-codon, which is responsible for specific mRNA codon recognition, and the 3' end, to which the tRNAs corresponding amino acid is attached (by aminoacyl-tRNA synthetases). tRNAs cope with the degeneracy of the genetic code in two manners: having more than one tRNA (with a specific anti-codon) for a particular amino acid; and 'wobble' base-pairing, i.e. permitting non-standard base-pairing at the 3rd anti-codon position. The record is from RNAcentral. RNAcentral also lists the same sequence under 1 other name. Lineage: Archaea; Nanobdellati; Nanobdellota.
GGGCUGGUGGUCUAGGGGUUAUGACGUCUGCCUUACACGCAGAAGGUCCCCGGUUCGAAUCCGGGCCAGCCCA